CGCGGUCCUCGGUAGUGAUCCCCGGAAAGCGCCGGACCGGCGCCUCCGUGGAUCUCGAUCGAAGACCGGG
Molecule: non-coding RNA, 70 nt
Organism: Arthrobacter sp. Leaf234
Lineage: Bacteria; Bacillati; Actinomycetota; Actinomycetes; Micrococcales; Micrococcaceae
Source: Rfam